RNAcentral lists this long non-coding RNA (348 nucleotides) under Fragaria vesca (wild strawberry). RNAcentral's name for it is "long non-coding RNA (FVES_LNC003306)". Lineage: Eukaryota; Viridiplantae; Streptophyta; Magnoliopsida; Rosales; Rosaceae. The record is from RNAcentral.
AUCUAUCAUGCAUCAAGUUCUAAGUUCUGGGAAUAAAGCAGAGGUUUUCUGAGAAUGAAAGCAAAGGUUAAUGGGACUGGUGUCUAUACUGGUCAUUAUGCAAAAUUACCCUAGUUUUGCAAUGGGUUACCAAACAUCCCACUCUACAUUUUUCUAUCAAAAAAAGUUAGAAAAAGCUAAUUUACCAAACGCUUAAUGGAUUAAUUUACCCAUACAUUAUUUUCACAGCUGUGAUUUUUUACAACUGAUUAUUUAGACUUCAAUACCAAAUUGAGCCUAUGUUUUUUUUCUUCUUCCUAAUGGAUAUGUCGAUGGGAGAAAUUUUAAAUACACACCCCUAAUCUUUUA